This 505-nucleotide ribosomal RNA is filed under the name uncultured bacterium. RNAcentral's name for it is "partial 16S ribosomal RNA". It matches the Rfam family "Bacterial small subunit ribosomal RNA", at positions 28 to 507 of the family's 1533-position model. The record is from RNAcentral.
GACGAACGCUGGCGGCGUGCCUAAUACAUGCAAGUAGAACGCACAGUUUAUACCGUAGCUUGCUACACCAUAGACUGUGAGUUGCGAACGGGUGAGUAACGCGUAGGUAACCUGCCUGGUAGCGGGGGAUAACUAUUGGAAACGAUAGCUAAUACCGCAUAAUAUUGAUUAUUGCAUGAUAAUUAAUUGAAAGGUGCAAUUGCACCACUACCAGAUGGACCUGCGUUGUAUUAGCUAGUAGGUGAGGUAACGGCUCACCUAGGCGACGAUACAUAGCCGACCUGGGAGGGUGAUCGGCCACACUGGGACUGAGACACGGCCCAGACGCCUACGGGAGGCAGCAGUAGGGAAUCUUCGGCAAUGGACGAAAGUCUGACCGAGCAACGCCGCGUGAGUGAAGAAGGGUUUCGGAUCGUAAAGCUCGGUUGUAAGAGAAGAACGGGUGUGAGAGUGGAAAGUUCACACUGUGACGGUAGCUUACCAGAAAGGGACGGCUAACUACGUG